RNAcentral lists this ribosomal RNA (255 nucleotides) under uncultured bacterium. RNAcentral describes it as "partial 16S ribosomal RNA". It matches the Rfam family "Bacterial small subunit ribosomal RNA", at positions 524 to 777 of the family's 1533-position model. The record is from RNAcentral.
UACGUAGGGUGCGAGCGUUUAAUCGGAAUUACUGGGCGUAAAGUGUGCGCAGGCGGCCGCGCAAGUCGAGUGUGAAAGCCCCGGGCUUAACUUGGGAAUUGCGCUCGAAACUACGUGGCUGGAGUGUGGCAGAGGAAGGUGGAAUUCCACGUGUAGCGGUGAAAUUCGUAGAUAUUCGCAGGAACACCAGUGGCGAAGGCGGCUUACUGGUCCAUAACUGACGCUGAGGUGCGAAAGCGUGGGGAGCAAACAGGG